Molecule: RNase P RNA, 216 nt
Filed under: Salmonella enterica
Lineage: Bacteria; Pseudomonadati; Pseudomonadota; Gammaproteobacteria; Enterobacterales; Enterobacteriaceae
Also listed under: 1 other name
Description: partial RNase P RNA component class A
Rfam family: Bacterial RNase P class A
About the family: Ribonuclease P (RNase P) is a ubiquitous endoribonuclease, found in archaea, bacteria and eukarya as well as chloroplasts and mitochondria. Its best characterised activity is the generation of mature 5'-ends of tRNAs by cleaving the 5'-leader elements of precursor-tRNAs.
Source: RNAcentral
UGGGAUCAGGUAAGGGUGAAAGGGUGCGGUAAGAGCGCACCGCGCGGCUGGUAACAGUCCGUGGCACGGUAAACUCCACCCGGAGCAAGGCCAAAUAGGGGUUCAUAAGGUACGGCCCGUACUGAACCCGGGUAGGCUGCUUGAGCCAGUGAGCGAUUGCUGGCCUAGAUGAAUGACUGUCCACGACAGAACCCGGCUUAUCGGUCAGUUUCACUU